AACGCUAGCGGCAGGCUUAACACAUGCAAGUCGAGGGGUAACAGGGAUUGCUUGCAAUCCGCUGACGACCGGCGCACGGGUGCGUAACGCGUAUACAAUCUACCUUUUACAUAGGGAUAGCCCAGAGAAAUUUGGAUUAAUACCUUAUAGUAUUAUAAAUUGGCAUCAAUUAAUAAUUAAAGUUUCGGCGGUAAAAGAUGAGUAUGCGUUCUAUUAGCUAGUAGGUAAGGUAACGGCUUACCUAGGCGACGAUAGAUAGGGGUCCUGAGAGGGAGAUCCCCCACACUGGUACUGAGACACGGACCAGACUCCUACGGGAGGCAGCAGUGAGGAAUAUUGGUCAAUGGACGCAAGUCUGAACCAGCCAUGCCGCGUGAAGGAUGACGGCCCUACGGGUUGUAAACUUCUUUUAUACAGGAAGAAAAUACCUUACGUGUAAGGUACUGACGGUACUGUAAGAAUAAGGAUCGGCUAACUCCGUGCCAGCAGCCGCGGUAAUACGGAGGAUCCAAGCGUUAUCCGGAUUUAUUAGGUUUAAAGGGUCCGCAGGCGGACUUUUAAGUCAGUGGUGAAAUCCUGCAGCUUAACUGCAGAACUGCCAUUGAUACUGAAAGUCUUGAGUGUGGUUGAGGUAGGCGGAAUGUGUUGUGUAGCGGUGAAAUGCUUAGAUAUAACACAGAACACCGAUUGCGAAGGCAGCUUACUAAACCAUAACUGACGCUCAUGGACGAAAGCGCGGGGAGCGAACAGGAUUAGAUACCCUGGUAGUCCGCGCCGUAAACGAUGAUUACUCGUUGUGCGCGAUACACAGUGCGUGACUGAGCGAAAGCAUUAAGUAAUCCACCUGGGGAGUACGUUCGCAAGAAUGAAACUCAAAGGAAUUGACGGGGGCCCGCACAAGCGGAGGAACAUGUGGUUUAAUUCGAUGAUACGCGAGGAACCUUACCCGGGCUUAAAUGCAGUUUGACCGGCUUAGAAAGGUCUUCUCUUCGGAGCAAAUUACAAGGUGCUGCAUGGCUGUCGUCAGCUCGUGCCGUGAGGUGUCGGGUUAAGUCCCAUAACGAGCGCAACCCCUAUUGUUAGCUGCUAACAGGUAAUGCUGAGGACUCUAGCGAGACUGCCACCGUAAGGUGUGAGGAAGGUGGGGGAUGACGUCAAAUCAGCACGGCCCUUACGUCCAGGGCUACACACGUGUUACAAUGGUCGAUACAAAGGGCAGCUACACAGUGAUGUGAUGCAAAUCUCAAAAAUCGAUCUCAGUUCGGAUUGAAGUCUGCAACUCGACUUCAUGAAGGUGGAUUCGCUAGUAAUCGUGCAUCAGCAACGGCACGGUGAAUACGUUCCCGGGCCUUGACACACCGCCCGUCAAGCCAUGGAAGCUGGGGGUACCUGAAGUCUGUCACCGCAAGGAGCGGCCUAG
RNAcentral lists this ribosomal RNA (1420 nucleotides) under uncultured prokaryote. RNAcentral's name for it is "partial 16S ribosomal RNA". It matches the Rfam family "Bacterial small subunit ribosomal RNA". The record is from RNAcentral.